RNAcentral lists this ribosomal RNA (558 nucleotides) under uncultured bacterium. RNAcentral's name for it is "bacterial SSU rRNA". It matches the Rfam family "Bacterial small subunit ribosomal RNA", at positions 347 to 917 of the family's 1533-position model. The record is from RNAcentral.
GGCAGCAGUGGGGAAUAUUGCACAGUGGGCGGAAGCCUGAUGCAGCGACGCCGCGUGAGGGAUGACGGCCUUCGGGUUGUAAACCUCUUUCAGCAGGGACGAAGCGCAAGUGACGGUGCCUGCAGAAGAAGCACCGGCCAACUACGUGCCAGCAGCCGCGGUAAGACGUAGGGUGCGAGCGUUGUCCGGAUUUAUUGGGCGUAAGGAGCUCGUAGGCGGCUUGUCGCGUCGACCGUGAAAACCCGCAGCUUAACCUCAAGCCUGCGGUCGAUACGGGCAGGCUAGAGUUCGGUAGGGGAGACUGGAAUUCCUGGUGUAGCGGUGAAAUGCGCAGAUAUCAGGAGGAACACCGGUGGCGAAGGCGGGUCUCUGGGCCGAUACUGACGCUGAGGAGCGAAAGCGUGGGGAGCGAACAGGAUUAGAUACCCUGGUAGUCCACGCUGUAAACGUUGGGCGCUAGGUGUGGGGGGCCUCUCCGGUUCUGUGCCGCAGCUAACGCAUUAAGCGCCCCGCCUGGGGAGUACGGCCGCAAGGCUAAAACUCAAAGGAAUUGACGGA